AAUGCUUGAGCUCGUGUAAAUUCUUCCGCACUCUACCACCCUCUCUCUCUCUCUCUCUCCGAACCUCUUCUGCCCUCUCACCUCUUUUAAUGUCUAGAUUUUGGUCGGAUUUUCGGCCGAAGUCCUGCUAAUAGGUUUGAUUUGUUUUUGUUAUUUAUAUACAUAGUUAAGUUCUUUUCUAUUUUUUUUUACAAUCAUCUAGAUUUUUAUUUCUUUCUUGCUGCUUUCUUUCUCUACUCAAAACAUUUCCUUCUUCUAUUUUUUUCCAGGAAUCCCGCCUUCACGUCUAUCCUUCAAAGCUUGGUGGAUCCAAAAGAAAAAAAAUGUUCCAAUGUAGUUUGAUGUCAAGGGCCAGUUUGAGAUCGGGAUCUGGAUGACUAUUUUUCUCUUUGGCAUUUCUUUUCUUUUUUUUCUUCAUUAUGGU
RNAcentral lists this long non-coding RNA (424 nucleotides) under Ananas comosus (pineapple). RNAcentral's name for it is "long non-coding RNA (ACOM_LNC010555)". Lineage: Eukaryota; Viridiplantae; Streptophyta; Magnoliopsida; Poales; Bromeliaceae. The record is from RNAcentral.